CCAAAUCACAACAAGGUUGACUCAAGGCACAUCACACAAGUAAGUCUAACUUUAUCAACCCUCAGAGCAAGCCCACAGGCAGCAGUGGUAUGGAAAAACUCCCUCUGAGGAAGAAACCUCAAGCAGACCAGACUCAAAGGGGUGACCCUCUGCUUGGGCCAUGCUACAGACACAAAUUACAAAACAAUU
Thalassophryne amazonica is the source of this 189-nucleotide long non-coding RNA. RefSeq lists it as uncharacterized. The transcript has 2 exons. Lineage: Eukaryota; Metazoa; Chordata; Actinopteri; Batrachoidiformes; Batrachoididae. The record is from RefSeq and is a predicted model, not a curated record.